GAUGAACGCUGGCGGCGUGCCUAAUACAUGCAAGUCGAGCGAACGGACGAGAAGCUUGCUUCUCUGAUGUUAGCGGCGUACGGGUGAGUAAAACGUGGAUAACCUACCUAUAAGACUGGGAUAACUUCGAGAAACCGGAGCUAAUACCGGAUAAUAUUUUGAACCUCAUGGUUCAAAAGUGAAAGACGGUCUUGCUGUCACUUAUAGAUGUAUCCGCGCUGCAUUAGCUAGUUGGUAAGGUAACGGCUUACCAAGGCAACGAUGCAUAGCCGACCUGAGAGGGUGAUCGGCCACACUGGAACUGAGACACGGUCCAGACUCCUACGGGAGGCAGCAGUAGGGAAUCUUCCGCAAUGGGCGAAAGCCUGACGGAGCAACGCCGCGUGAGUGAUGAAGGUCUUCGGAUCGUAAAACUCUGUUAUUAGGGAAGAACAUAUGUGUAAGUAACUGUGCACAUCUUGACGGUACCUAAUCAGAAAGCCACGGCUAACUACGUG
Molecule: ribosomal RNA, 497 nt
Filed under: uncultured bacterium
Lineage: Bacteria
Description: partial 16S ribosomal RNA
Rfam family: Bacterial small subunit ribosomal RNA
Source: RNAcentral